Molecule: ribosomal RNA, 584 nt
Filed under: uncultured bacterium
Lineage: Bacteria
Description: bacterial SSU rRNA
Rfam family: Bacterial small subunit ribosomal RNA
Source: RNAcentral
AGUGGCGAACGGGUGAGUAAUACAUGGGUAAUCUGCCUUCGAGCGGGGGAUAACCAGCCGAAAGGCUGGCUAAUACCCCAUACGCUUCCGGUCCCUCGGGUAAGGAAGGAAAGCUGCAUCGUGGAUGUGGCACUCGAAGAUGGGCUCAUGGCCUAUCAGCUUGUUGGUGGGGUAACGGCCCACCAAGGCUACGACGGGUAGCUGGUCUGAGAGGACGAUCAGCCACACUGGCACUGAGAUACGGGCCAGACUCCUACGGGAGGCAGCAGUGAGGAAUAUUGCGCAAUGGGCGAAAGCCUGACGCAGCGACGCCGCGUGGGGGAAGAAGGUUUUCGGACUGUAAACCCCUUUUAGGAGGAAAGAUGGGGUGGGUUUCCACCCGGACGGUACCUCCAGAAAAAGCCACGGCUAACUUCGUGCCAGCAGCCGCGGUAAUACGAAGGUGGCGAGCGUUGUUCGGAUUUACUGGGCGUAAAGAGCACGUAGGCGGUUUAGUAAGCCCCUUGGGAAAGCUACGAGCUUAACCCGUAAAGGUCGAGGGGGACUGCUAAGCUAGAGGGCGGGAGAGGAGCGCGGAAUUCCCG